AAACAAAAACCCAGAAGAUAAUAUGAUCAAGAGGUGGUUUUCUUGGGGUGAUGUUCAGUUAUACUCUAGGUGUGUUGACUCCAGUGAUUUCCUAAAAUGUGGGAACUUGACUGCAUGAUUUGUGAUAAUGAGGUACCACAUUCUCACUUUC
Molecule: small nuclear RNA, 151 nt
Filed under: Peromyscus maniculatus bairdii (prairie deer mouse)
Lineage: Eukaryota; Metazoa; Chordata; Mammalia; Rodentia; Cricetidae
Description: U1 spliceosomal RNA (ENSPEMG00000004725.2)
Source: RNAcentral